This 3324-nucleotide long non-coding RNA is filed under the name Sorghum bicolor (sorghum). RNAcentral describes it as "long non-coding RNA (SBIC_LNC010743)". Lineage: Eukaryota; Viridiplantae; Streptophyta; Magnoliopsida; Poales; Poaceae. The record is from RNAcentral.
UCUAUGAAUAAUGAAUAAGGAUCAAGGCGGUGCCUCCGCCAGGGGCCAGGGGGCCUACUUAUAUAGUCCCCUCAAGUGAAUCUAGGCCGUCGGAUCAAACCGAUAUUAAUCGCACGGUUUUCCUUGAUCCUUUAGGUCGGUGGAGCACAAUCCGCGAGAUUGAUCGUCAUUGGUGGAAAUACCUGGGCGGGCGCCCUAUCUCUGAGCCCGCUCAGCUUCUCGUUCGUUCCCGUGGCUUCUGGAGUCUUCUAGAUGAUAGAAAAUUGCGCGGCACGUUAAUAUCUCUAUGUAAACCCGACGUGUGGGCCUUUCCUCCAUAUUUCCUGAUAACCCCCUGCAGAAAUAGACAAACACCAAAACUCAUGGAAUUUUGUCAGAUAAAACCCUAAGUCUGGGUGUUGGUUGCAUUUGGAUCCUUUUCUUUAUUUAUUUGAUGAUUAAAUUUGAUACUUAAGGACCGUCAACAAACUCCCCCAAGCUUACCUCUUGCUCGUCCCUAAGCAAGGAUGGACUCAAGAGUUUCUGUAGUAGUUUCAUGCCUUAAAGUUACACAUGCGUUCAAACAAGAUCUCAUCUCUGGGUUAGGGUAAACUGUUAAGACUUAAAACUUACUCAUUUUACCUUUCACCAUGGGGCUUGCAACCGUCACUUAUGUCUUGAGGAGUUAAAAGAUAGAAUGGUCAAGUCAAGAGCCAUGUCUCUUGUUCAUUCAUCAACUAUAGCUCUGGAGUUUUUGUAGAUUUUCAAAAUAAAACUUAGAGAUUCCUUGUAUGACUCUCUCCAUUCUCUCUUUUGUGGUAUUUCUGGAUCCUUACCAAGGCAAUGACGGUGUAUGCCUUCUCAAAGUAUGUGGUAUUUUUGGUAUGAGGCAUAGUGACAUUGCGUUCUCUCUCACCCUACUCUAAUAAGGUUUGAUAUCUGGAGCUCAUAGGUGGGAGACAGCUAAUACAUACUUACAAGGCAUUUAUUGCAUAGUCAAACCAUGGAUCCAGAGAAACAAGUUAAGAAGUCAAAUCAAGAUGUGCAUGUGUGGCGAAUGAAUGGUGUAUGGUGAUGAUGGUGAUAAUGGUGAAAACAAUGGUGAAAGUCUAAUUCUACUUUUGCUCUUUUGAGGGGAUACAUACCUUUCGUGCACUUUGAAGUUUUUUUUGAGGGGAAUGAGAUGCUCUAUAUUUUCAUUUUAUUUUUUCUCAGGUGGGUAUCUUGUACCCCUAAUUCUACUAUCGGACACUUGUCCAUUUUUACCUCUCGUCUCACUUUUUUUUCUUCGAGUUCCGGGCACUUGCCCCUUUUUAUUUCCUCGUAUUCACUUUUUCUUCUUCUUUUUUUAGAGCACUCAUCUCCUUAAAUAAUAUAACAAGUGGUAGUAACCAAGAUAACUCGAGCAUUUAUUUCAUAGGGAAAAACAAAAAUAAGAGAAUGUUUUUGGCUAUUCUCUCCCGGAUAGGAGUAGAAUAAUUUUGGGUGAAUCUGGAGAUGGAAAUGAGUGGAUGUAUGUGGAUACGUAAUUCCGAAGUAGAAGCAGCAUGUAUGAGUGAACGUGCAAGUGAAUCUUGAUUUUAACAGCAUGACAAGCUCCUAAGGGUCUACACAGCUUGACCACACUCAAUGCUCAUAAAUAGUAAAAAGUAAAUGUAUGGUUCAUAGUAUAAUAAGCAUGUAUAUAUGGCUGUGGUAGGAUUUUAAACUCUCAUCAUACAGGAACUCAUCAUGCAACAUUUUAAAGAUUUUCAAAGAUAAAAUUCUCCAGAAUUCUAGCAUCUCUAGGAACAGAUAAAUAGCAGCUCAACCUUCCCAUAUCAUAUCUGUUAACGACUUAGACUUUUGAUCAAGUACUCUUCCCACAAGUUUAGGUUUAGAGCAAAUCUUAAUUCAUAAUAGUCAUGCCUAAACUUGAGAGAGAUUUCAAUUUUGAGAACUAGUCAUGGCAGAGCCACUAUUCAUCAUUUCCAUGUGAGAGCUUAUCAUGAGGGUUCAUAGCAAACUUUAUUUAUUUAUUUAUUUAGCAAACUAAGCAAAGAUAUAUAUAAGCACAAAAUCUUUAUUUGGGUUUUUUAUGAUUAUGCAUCUAUUUAUUAUUUUAACAAAGUAUAAGUAUAAACGUAGAUAGAAACACUUAGCUGGAUAAAUGGGGGUGCUCCCCCCAAGCUAGAUUUUUAUGUAAUUUCUUCUGAUAUAGCUAGCAGGUGGCAGAGGUGUAUUUGAAUGUCGGCAGCACCCUGACAACAAUUAGGAUGUCCUCCGUCUGCUAGUCUUCUUUGAUCCUUGAAUUCUGUGGAGCUCAAAUAGACAACAAAGCUUUGUGGAACUGGUUAAGUGUUAGCAUAAAAUCUCUUAGCCGUUACCAUGUUGAGCUUCCUCUAAUAAAUAUUACUUUCUUUGGUAGGAUCAUAAAUUUAUUUUUAUAUUUUCAUUUUUAUAGGACAAGAAUAUUUUUAUUUUUAUGCCACCAUAGUGAAUGUACUUAUGGGUCUUAUGCCACGAGCAUACUCACAUGGCGCUUACUUUUUUUAACAUUUUUUAAUUUCUUUUCAAGAUAGCAUGAUUAACUAACAAGCUAUUUAAGGAAAUAAAUAAUUUAAGGAUAAAGGGAAUGUAGAAAGGAUAAAUAUGGAUAACUACUGAUUUUACCUUUCAGCGAGGGUUCAAUAUUUUAAGUGUUGUGAACAAGACUUCUCACCGUAUUCAUUCUUUAGGUGCAUCAUUUGAUUCAGGUGUGGACCUUGACGUCUGCACCUCUUGAUACGGUGUCACCCAUGUUCUUCGUUUGCCCAGCAGUUCGAAGUGUGACGUUGGCAGCAUCUAGCUCAGUGUGUUUGUGCUCAUAGAUCCAGGUCCUUCACUUGGUGGAAUCUAGGAGUUGUAAAACUCCACCAUGUUUUGCUCCAAGUGUUCCUGCUCAUAGAGACAAGGCAGAGAUCAAGUGCAUGGGCCCUGUUGGUGGAAAACACCAACAAAACUAAAAGUAUAUUUGUUCUUCUCUAACCUUAAGCAUAGUGAGCAAGACAAAUUUAAUGGAUAAUAAGAUCAUGAGUGUAGUAUUUAAAACAUUUGUCAGAUCAGAUCGCUCAUCCUAAUGGAAAGAUAAUCUAUCUAUAUUUAUGUUUUUAUAUAUCUUCCAAAGAUUGAGUGUGCAACAUUUUAGCUCAUAUGAUUAGGAGUGUGGGAUCACAAAGGUGGAAGGACUAAACAUGUUGAAUCGAUUGGGUUGGUUAACCUAGAGUUGUAAAUCAUACAUGUUUGUCUCUUUUAUUCACAUGAACGCCAGAACCAAGGAGAAGCUUAUAAAAGUGAUAGUCAAGUACCUUAAGAUGUUACCUUACU